GAGUUUGAUCCUGGCUCAGGAUGAACGCUGGCGGCAUGCCUAAUACAUGCAAGUCGAACGGGGUGCUUGCACCCAGUGGCGAACGGGUGAGUAACACGUAUCUAAUCUACCUUUUAGUGGGGGAUAACAGUUGGAAACGACUGCUAAUACCGCAUACGACACCAUUAUGGCAUCAGAAGGUGUUGAAAGGCCCGUUUGGGUCGCUAAAAGAUGAGGAUGCGGCGUAUUAGCUAGUAGGUGGGGUAAUGGCCUACCUAGGCGAUGAUACGUAGCCGAACUGAGAGGUUGAUCGGCCACAUUGGGACUGAGAUACGGCCCAGACUCCUACGGGAGGCAGCAGUAGGGAAUUUUUCACAAUGGACGCAAGUCUGAUGAAGCAAUGCCGCGUGAGUGAUGACGGUCUUCGGAUUGUAAAGCUCUGUUGUAAGGGAAGAAUAGCUAGAGUANGAAAUGACUCUAGUCUGACGGUACCUUACCAGAAAGNCACGGCUAACUAUGUGCCAGCAGCCGCGGUAAUACAUNNGUGGCAAGCGUUAUCCGGAUUUAUU
RNAcentral lists this ribosomal RNA (548 nucleotides) under uncultured Spiroplasma sp. Its description in RNAcentral is "bacterial SSU rRNA". It matches the Rfam family "Bacterial small subunit ribosomal RNA", at positions 9 to 555 of the family's 1533-position model. The record is from RNAcentral. Lineage: Bacteria; Bacillati; Mycoplasmatota; Mollicutes; Entomoplasmatales; Spiroplasmataceae.